GUCCUGGCCGUAAACGAUGUCCACUAGGUUGAGGUUCUUUUGACGGAUCCUCGGCCGAAGCAAAACGUUAAGUGGACCGCCUGGGGAGUACGGUCGCAAGGCUAAAACUCAAAGUAAUUGACUGGGGCUCACACAAGCGGUGGAGCAUGUUGCUCAAUUCGAUGCAACGCGAAGAACCUUAUCCUGGGCUUGACAUGUACGAAUACCUUACCUGAAAGGGAUAAGGUUGCCCUUCGGGUGAAGCGUACACAGGUGCUGCAUGGCUGUCGU
RNAcentral lists this ribosomal RNA (270 nucleotides) under uncultured bacterium. RNAcentral describes it as "partial 16S ribosomal RNA". It matches the Rfam family "Bacterial small subunit ribosomal RNA", at positions 793 to 1055 of the family's 1533-position model. The record is from RNAcentral.